RNAcentral lists this ribosomal RNA (468 nucleotides) under uncultured bacterium. RNAcentral describes it as "partial 16S ribosomal RNA". It matches the Rfam family "Bacterial small subunit ribosomal RNA", at positions 28 to 507 of the family's 1533-position model. The record is from RNAcentral.
GACGAACGCUGGCGGCGUGCUUAACACAUGCAAGUCGAACGGAAAGGCCCUGCUUUUGUGGGGUGCUCGAGUGGCGAACGGGUGAGUAACACGUGAGUAACCUGCCCUUGACUUUGGGAUAACUUCAGGAAACUGGGGCUAAUACCGGAUAGGAGCUCCUGCUGCAUGGUGGGGGUUGGAAAGUUUCGGCGGUUGGGGAUGGACUCGCGGCUUAUCAGCUUGUUGGUGGGGUAGUGGCUUACCAAGGCUUUGACGGGUAGCCGGCCUGAGAGGGUGACCGGCCACAUUGGGACUGAGCUACGGCCCAGACUCCUACGGGAGGCAGCAGUGGGGAAUAUUGCACAAUGGGCGGAAGCCUGAUGCAACAACGCCGCGUGCGGGAUGACGGCCUUCGGGUUGUAAACCGCUUUCGCCUGUGACGAAGCGUGAGUGACGGUAAUGGGUAAAGAAGCACCGGCUAACUACGUG